This is an RNA transcript of Magnolia sinica, 2090 nucleotides long. It is a transcript of the gene named beta-glucuronosyltransferase GlcAT14A, with no coding region annotated. Lineage: Eukaryota; Viridiplantae; Streptophyta; Magnoliopsida; Magnoliales; Magnoliaceae. The transcript has 5 exons. The record is from RefSeq and is a predicted model, not a curated record.
CUCAAUGUGUCUUAUUUCGGUACGUGAGGAUGUAUUCGAGCAAACCUCAGAGCGAGAAAAAAAAAGGGAAAGAGGAGAGAGAAAAGAAACCGCUCCAUUAAUUCCCCACCGAUCUGCUUCAGCUGAUCUUCUCUCCUUCUCCAAAAAUCCCAAAAUCCCAAAAAGCACCACGUCCUGACACGUCAUCAAAAUCCAAGAUCCCUGCAAAUCUCGACCCCCUCCCUUUGAAAUUCCUAGUACAAAUCUGUACCAUCUUCAUUCCAACUACAUCCACACCAUCCAUUAUACAUCCAUACAUCAUACAUCAUACACAUUCAAACCCUAACCCUAAUCCCAUGAAACACAGUAGAAGUAAAAAGCUCAAACAGAUGAUGGAAUCUCCACCCACCUCAAUUCCGUGCUCCUGCUCCCUACUGUAAUUCCAUGCUCCUGCACCAGUCACAGCUCCACCUCCCAUGGCAGCAGCUGAGAAGAAAUGGCUCUUCCUCCUCCUCUCCUCGGCCUUCCUCUCCCUCUUCCUCCUCCUCUCCGCCAUCUCCGGCUUCUCCGCCUCCUCGGCCUUCUCCUCGCGCAAGCCGUUUGCUUCGGUGGUCCAUCGCGGGCCCAAUUCCCUGCCUGCCUUUGCCUACUACAUUGCUGGAAGCCGCGGGCAUGGGAACCGCAUCCUCCGGCUCCUGCUCGCCGUCUACCACCCUCGGAAUCGGUACCUCCUCCACCUCGGGACCGAGGCCUCCGAUAAGGAGCGGACUCAGCUGGCAGCCGCUGUGGCGGGGAUCCCAGCUGUGCGCGCUUUCGGGAAUGUUGAUGUGGUCGGGAAGCCGGAUGCGAUGACGUACAUGGGGUCAUCGCAGCUCGCCGCCGCCCUCCAUGCUGCCGCGGUGCUGCUGAAGCUGGAUGGUGAGUGGGAUUGGUUCAUCACUCUGAGCGCCACAGAUUAUCCUCUGGUCACGCAGGACGAUUUGUUCCAUGUCUUCUCCUCUGUGCCGAGGCACCUCAACUUCAUUGAGCACACCAGUGAUCUUGGAUGGAAAGAGUUCCAGCGUGUCCAGCCAGUUGUAGUGGACCCGGGUCUUUACUUGGCAAGGAGAACCAAAAUCUUUCAUGGCACGGAAAAGCGGCCAACCCCUGAAGCUUUCAGAUUUUUCACAGGUUCGCCAUGGGUUAUUCUUAGCCGACCUUUCAUGGAAUUCUGCGUCUUGGGUUGGGAUAACCUGCCUCGGACACUCCUCAUGUACUUCACCAAUGUAUUGCUAUCUGAAGAAGGCUAUUUCCACUCCGUCAUCUGCAAUGCUCCAGAGUUCCAGAACACGACCGUAAAUGGUGAUCUAAGAUACAUUGUGUGGGACAAUCCGCCGGGGAUGGAACCCCACUUCCUCAACUUAACCGAUUACGACAACAUGGCCCGGAGCGGGGCAGCCUUCGCGAGGCAGUUCCAUAAAGAUGACCCAGUGCUGGACCAGGUUGACGAGAAAAUCCUCAGGCGUGGGCCCAACAGGCCCGUCCCAGGGGCUUGGUGCUCGGGCCGGAGGAACCGGUGGAUGGAUCCGUGCUCUCUAUGGAGCGAUGUCAACCUCAUGAAUCCCGGCCCACAGGCACAGAAGCUUGGGAAUGUGAUGGCUGGACUUAUUGAAGAAUGGAAUUCGAGUUCGAGCUCGUGCAAAUAGUGUAUGCGAGAUGAAGAGUCUGGACACAAGAUGUAGUACUGACUGAGAUAGAUGAUCAUGAUCAUCGAUGACAGAGGUUUGCUAAAACAGGUGUCGUGGACAAUUCGGGUUUGAUAUAUUGCUGCAUGGGAACUGUGAAUCGUGGACCCCAUUCUCUAAAAUGACACUGAUCAAGCAAUCGUAACAAUGUCUCUCGAAUGGAUGGUUAGAAGCAAAAUAGUGAAUGUCCGGAGGGAAGAAGCAAAAUAGUGAAUGUUGGAAGCUAAAAAUCGGAUGGAAAAUAUAAUCUUCCUAGUGCAAUUUGGAAGCUUGUGUUUUGAAUACAUUUUAUUUCACCACUCUAAUACAGUGGAAUUGGAGUGAUUUCAAAUCCUCAUUUGGCAACCUGUAACUGGAAUGCAUUAGAAAUCCAAUUCUCUUAUAGGU